Molecule: microRNA precursor, 100 nt
Organism: Otolemur garnettii (small-eared galago)
Lineage: Eukaryota; Metazoa; Chordata; Mammalia; Primates; Galagidae
Source: Ensembl
UCAAGCCUGUGCCCGGCAGCCACUGAGAACUACGUCUGCUCUGAGCUGGGUACUGCCUGUUCAGAACAAACACCAGUUUCUAGAAUGUGGCCAAAUGGCC